GACUUGAGCAUCAGAGGAUCUCCACCGGAGCAACCUCUGGCUCAGACUUCUCUGUAGGUCACACCCUCGAGAGACCCAUCUCGCCUUCCACUCCAGCAUCCCGACACCAUAUGAAAUCUUGCAUAAUAGAUUCGCUUUAGAAGGACUCAUCCCCAUUCGAAGGAGCACAGAUCGAGAGCAGUACAACCAUGCCAUCCAAAAGAGCUUCAUCCCGUCAUACCAACACCACCACUCCACGAUCGGUGGAGAGCCAGGUUAACAACCAGGUGCAACCAUCAUUAGUACAAACUCCUCCAUCUCCUCUGCCUACAGUAGUGAUGGCGAAUCAAUUCCAUCUGCUCUUUUAGCAAGUUUAAAAUUUGACGAUCAUUGUUUAGGUGAUCCGGGCC
RNAcentral lists this long non-coding RNA (389 nucleotides) under Elaeis guineensis (African oil palm). Its description in RNAcentral is "long non-coding RNA (EGUI_LNC077272)". The record is from RNAcentral. Lineage: Eukaryota; Viridiplantae; Streptophyta; Magnoliopsida; Arecales; Arecaceae.